ACUCUGGCUCCUAACCACAGUACUCAUUCCUUCCACCUUUUGCUUCUAUUCUCAGCCUCAUCGUCGGCCCCAUCUCUCUUUCCACUUAUUUCUUGCGGCACGUCACAGGGACAGAGCACCACCAUUGGUUGUCUGGCCAGGAAUUUCCUCCCAGAAUCCAUUGAAUUCAACUUUGCAGAUAAGGCCAACAGCAGCUUUACCACUGGCUUAAAGAAAUACAAUCCUGUGUUGGAAUCUGGAGGCACCUACGCAGCAAGCUCCCAGAUACAAGUGCUAACUACCAGCUGGGAAGGCAGUGAUGCUUAUUACUGCACUGCAAAACAUCCACAGGGUACCAGGACUGUGUUACUUCAGAAGUCAAAUGAAGUAUCAAGAAAACCAAUAGUAACCAUUCAUCCGCCAGUCAAGGAUGAUGUAGAAUUUAAUGACAAUGCCACAAUUGCAUGUAUCGCGCAUGGAUUUUAUCCUAAGAUCAUUGAAGUAAAAUGGCUGAAGAAUCAUGAUGUGCCUGUUAUUGCCACAACAGAAGAAGCAGUUUCUGAUGGAAAUGGAGGUUUUAUGAUAACCUCUUUUAUCGUAGUAUCUAAAAAAGAUUGGGAUACAGAUAUCACUUUCUCAUGUAUAGUGAAUCACUCUGCCUCUGGCUUCUAUGAGAUGAGGAAUGUGAGCAAAUCAACUGUAUGUGAACCCAAUCCUCCCGCUGAUAUCAAAGUGACUGCCGUGCCUCCAUUAUUUGAAACUAUUUAUCUCCAGAACAUUGCCCCACUCACCUGCAUUAUUUCAAACAUGGAAAACAGAGAUGGAUUAGAGGUCACCUGGUACGCAAAUAAUGUUGCAAUUAACACUGAAAUAGAAGACCCAAUAUAUGACACUCCUUCACGGAAGUACACUGCCAAGGCCAUUGCUACGGUUUGUCCUGAAGACUGGAAGACAAAGACCUUUGAGUGCAGAGUGACCCAUCCUGAGCUUCCCCGUGUUGUAGUUGUCACACUCAGUAAACCAAAUGGACAUGAUGCAAGAACUCCAACGGUUUUACUGUUCCCACCACACCAAGAUGAAUUAGCUAAAAAAGAAACUGCCACCCUGUCAUGCCUGGUUAAAGGUUUCGCCCCAGCAGACAUAUUUGUCAAAUGGAUAAACAGUGAUAACGUAGAGCAGUCUCAUGUUGUAACCACUAAGCCUAUGGAGGAGAUCACUUCUUCUAGCAAGAAAACCUACUUUCUAUUUAGCACAUUAACCCUGACAAAUGUUGAAGAUUGGAACAAUGGGAAAUCAUACACCUGUAUAGUUGGCCAUGAAUCACUACCACUAUACACCACCCAAAGGACCAUUGACAAAACUGCUGGUAAACCAACUAAUGUGAAUGUGACCCUCAAUAUGUCUGAUUCAUGUUAACCGUCCUUUAAACACUGGCCAGAUAACAUAGCCUUUUGUUUUUCCUUGUGUUAUGUGUAAAAUGAGGAGAAAAAAGAAGGAGGCGUGUCAUCUUGGUGUUUGUUGGUCUGCUUUUUGUACAUUAACUUCAAUGAAUCCUUUCUGCAUCUGGAAAA
Molecule: non-coding RNA, 1550 nt
Organism: Nanorana parkeri
Lineage: Eukaryota; Metazoa; Chordata; Amphibia; Anura; Dicroglossidae
Source: the annotation of a RefSeq genome assembly